UUCACACUGCCGAGAAAAGCCUCUAGAUAGAAAAUAGGCGCCCGUACCGCAAACCGACACAGGUAGUCAAGAUGAGAAUUCUAAGGUGAGCGAGCGAACUCUCGUUAAGGAACUCGGCAAAAUGACCCCGUAACUUCGGGAGAAGGGGUGCUCUUUAGGGUUAACGCCCAGAAGAGCCGCAGUGAAUAGGCCCAAGCGACUGUUUAUCAAAAACACAGGUCUCUGCUAAACCGUAAGGUGAUGUAUAGGGGCUGACGCCUGCCCGGUGCUGGAAGGUUAAGAGGAGUGGUUAGCUUCUGCGAAGCUACGAAUCGAAGCCCCAGUAAACGGCGGCCGUAACUAUAACGGUCCUAAGGUAGCGAAAUUCCUUGUCGGGUAAGUUCCGACCCGCACGAAAGGCGUAACGAUUUGGGCACUGUCUCAACGAGAGACUCGGUGAAAUCAUAGUACCUGUGAAGAUGCAGGUUACCCGCGACAGGACGGAAAGACCCCGUGGAGCUUUACUGUAGCCUGAUAUUGAAAUUCGGCACAGCUUGUACAGGAUAGGUAGGAGCCUUUGAAACGUGAGCGCUAGCUUACGUGGAGGCGCUGGUGGGAUACUACCCUAGCUGUGUUGGCUUUCUAACCCGCACCACUUAUCGUGGUGGGAGACAGUGUCAGGCGGGCAGUUUGACUGGGGCGGUCGCCUCCUAAAAGGUAACGGAGGCGCUCAAAGGUUCCCUCAGAAUGGUUGGAAAUCAUUCAUAGAGUGUAAAGGCAUAAGGGAGCUUGACUGCGAGACCUACAAGUCGAGCAGGGUCGAAAGACGGACUUAGUGAUCCGGUGGUUCCGCAUGGAAGGGCCAUCGCUCAACGGAUAAAAGCUACCCCGGGGAUAACAGGCUUAUCUCCCCCAAGAGUUCACAUCGACGGGGAGGUUUGGCACCUCGAUGUCGGCUCAUCGCAUCCUGGGGCUGUAGUCGGUCCCAAGGGUUGGGCUGUUCGCCCAUUAAAGCGGUACGCGAGCUGGGUUCAGAACGUCGUGAGACAGUUCGGUCCCUAUCCGUCGUGGGCGUAGGAAAUUUGAGAGGAGCUGUCCUUAGUACGAGAGGACCGGGAUGGACAUACCUCUGGUGUACCAGUUGUCGUGCCAACGGCAUAGCUGGGUAGCUAUGUGUGGACGGGAUAAGUGCUGAAAGCAUCUAAGCAUGAAGCCCCCCUCAAGAUGAGAUUUCCC
Molecule: ribosomal RNA, 1215 nt
Filed under: Staphylococcus aureus
Lineage: Bacteria; Bacillati; Bacillota; Bacilli; Caryophanales; Staphylococcaceae
Description: partial 23S ribosomal RNA
Rfam family: Bacterial large subunit ribosomal RNA
Source: RNAcentral